Molecule: long non-coding RNA, 491 nt
Organism: Erinaceus europaeus (western European hedgehog)
Lineage: Eukaryota; Metazoa; Chordata; Mammalia; Eulipotyphla; Erinaceidae
Exons: 3
Source: RefSeq, a predicted model, not a curated record
CUUCAACCGAGUUGAGGAAGAAGGAAGCCUGCUUUGGUGGGGUUCUUGUACCCACUGACUUAGAGCAGCCCAACAAGAAUCAUUGUCCUGAAGGCACCUGGCAGUUGAGCUCCCACCUAGUGUGGGGUGCGAUUUUGGACACCUCUACAGAAGACAGAGAUUUUCAGUCGCCCUCGGAGGGGUGAGGAAGGUGAAGGUUUUGAGAUGAUCCAGCGGAACCGUGUCCUAGCCCUGACUUUGGUACUCCUGCCCCAGAUCCUGAACACCUCUUUGGAGUUCGAGGCUGCCUUUCUAGUUGAGAGCAUCAUGGAGUUAAUAGCAGGAGGUUAAAGUUGUAUAUGGAUGAAGGCCAGCUUCCCCUACAGAGGGGAGUCAAAUCAGACUAUGCAGGUGGGGUCCAGUCACUGCUGGCCAUUCAGGGGUGCCAGCAUUCUAAUUGGGAGAUACAAUCAUGGAUCAGCAUGUAAACUUUAGCUCCCUCAAUAGAAGAU